This is a long non-coding RNA of Prosopis cineraria, 761 nucleotides long. RefSeq lists it as uncharacterized. The transcript is spliced from 3 exons. Lineage: Eukaryota; Viridiplantae; Streptophyta; Magnoliopsida; Fabales; Fabaceae. The record is from RefSeq and is a predicted model, not a curated record.
AUGAAUGAAGAAUCAGUUGUGGCGGAACCCAGAAACGAUCAAUGACGGAUGUUGAUCAGUAAGCCAUCACAGUCACGCGCAGCUCACGCCUCUAACCCUUACCUGUAAUAUCAUUUCCAGGACUGAUAUUUAUUGAUAUGGAUGCAAACUGCUACCAAAAACCUUAAAUAUAAGGGUUCGACUGAGUCACCCCACGGUCUUGCGAGUGUCGACCACUUGAUUGAUAUUGAGAAGCAAGAGAUGGAAGAAGCGUCGGAUGAAGAUGAAAUGUCAUACUAUGACACUGCAGAGUACUUUGCAGAACCUUGUUUUGGUCCCUUUUGUUUUUGAGAUUUCCGAUCAUUGGAGCUGAUUGAUCAGAUGGUACUGAUAUUGUUUUCUGCUUAUGUAUUGACUUAGACGGCAAGCUUGGUUUUUGGGUAAUGGAGAAUCUGCAGACCUUAACAAAUCUACAGGAGAUCUUGCUUGAACGGAAUCGAAUUAAAGUUGUAAACUCGUGUGGACUUACAUAUGCAUCAAGAAGCCGCUCACUGCAUUGUUUCCUAAUAGAUGGGAUGGGAGAGCAUUAUCUCUCAAGGUUCUUCAUUUUUUCCCCUCACAUGUUGUAGUUGACUUCAACAAUGUUUGGUCAAAAGUGCUGGUGAUUUUGAUGCAAAGGAAGAUAUUACUAGCUUAUGAAUAGGUGUUUGUUCUAAAUUUGUGUAAUGAAUAGGUAUUACUAGCUUAUAUUACUUGUGUUUUCCUGUUUGGGGACGUUUGUA